GUUCUGGUGGCCUAGUGGUUAGAGCUUUCGCCUUGUAUGCGGGAGGUUGCGGGUUCGAACCGCCGACUUAUAAAA
This is a non-coding RNA of Potamilus streckersoni, 75 nucleotides long. The record is from the annotation of a GenBank genome assembly. NCBI's taxonomy places the organism in Eukaryota, Metazoa, Mollusca, Bivalvia, Unionida, Unionidae.